GAUCAUGGCUCAGAGUGAACGCUGGCGGCGUGCCUAAUACAUGCAAGUCGAACGGACAAGUAAGAGCUUGCUCUUAUGAGUUAGUGGCGCACGGGUGAGUAAUGUAUAGCUAAUCUGCCCUACACUAGAGGACAACAGUUGGAAACGACUGCUAAUACUCUAUACUCCUGUCUUACAUAAGUUAGAUAGGGAAAGUUUUUCGGUGUAGGAUGAGGCUAUAUUGUAUCAG
Molecule: ribosomal RNA, 229 nt
Filed under: uncultured bacterium
Lineage: Bacteria
Description: partial 16S ribosomal RNA
Rfam family: Bacterial small subunit ribosomal RNA
Source: RNAcentral